UGAGCAAUCUGCCCUUCACAUCGGAAUAACCAUUGGAAACGAUGGCUAAUACCGAAUAUGACUUCGGAUCGCAUGAUCUGAAGUGGAAAGCUCCGGCGGUGAAGGAUGAGCUCGCGGCCUAUCAGCUUGUUGGUGAGGUAAUGGCUCACCAAGGCGACGACGGGUAGCUGGUCUGAGAGGGUGACCGGCCACACUGGGACUGAGAUACGGCAGA
Molecule: ribosomal RNA, 214 nt
Filed under: uncultured bacterium
Lineage: Bacteria
Description: partial 16S ribosomal RNA
Rfam family: Bacterial small subunit ribosomal RNA
Source: RNAcentral